Molecule: long non-coding RNA, 459 nt
Organism: Labrus mixtus (cuckoo wrasse)
Lineage: Eukaryota; Metazoa; Chordata; Actinopteri; Labriformes; Labridae
Exons: 3
Source: RefSeq, a predicted model, not a curated record
UACAGGCAAACAGAGAGAAGGGAAAAGAAACAAUCUGUGCUCUCAAAUAACAAAGCAGUCUCAAAUCUUUUUGAGGAAUUACAGCUAAAAAAAAAUUGUACUUUGCAUACAGUACAUCCUCUGAUAAAUAAAGUGAAGUACUUUGAUUGUAUUUCUGUGAUGUUCCUGUAGGUGACCAUGAUGCAGCCAGACUGAAGCAGCAUGUUGUGAAGGUGGACGCCAUCAUCUUGUCUUUGCAGUGCUGAUUCUGAAGAGAACUCCUUCACAUAGGACUCAAAGGAAAUCAGUCCUUAAAGGAAACAGCAGUACAGACUCUGAUUCCAGCUCUGUAAAUGCCCUCAGAUUCAGAUCCAUCAGCAACCCCUGACAACAUGGAGGACUCGUCCCCUGAGCGUUUCCUGUCCUCUCUCCAUGGAGUUCUUCUCUUCAGUCAUUAACUCUUGAAAACAGAAGCACAAC